This 1120-nucleotide long non-coding RNA is filed under the name Callithrix jacchus (white-tufted-ear marmoset). RNAcentral's name for it is "lncRNA (ENSCJAG00000074025.1)". Lineage: Eukaryota; Metazoa; Chordata; Mammalia; Primates; Cebidae. The record is from RNAcentral.
GACAGCAAUAGUUUUCUCUCAUCUCCAAACAACGGACUAGGUGUACCUGCCUGGAGAGUUGUGUUGGGAAGGGUUUUAAGACCACAUCCAAAAAGAAAGAGGGUUUUGGUUGAUUGACGAGUUCGUGGGCAUAAGCCUAAUGACUGCUUUAUGGCUGAGAAAUGGUGGAGGAAGCGACUGAGACUGAAGAGAUGAAGAAACUGAGGCACACAGGGAGACACAGACGUGGCCUUCCCAGCAGUACUCAGGUUUUCUCCUUCCUAACCUCCUGCCCUUUCCUUGUGUUUUAGGCAUUGGCUAAUGAAUUUAAAUGAAACAAUUGCUCGUGUCUGCCAAAAGCUGCAUAGAGGAACCUGGGCUGUGUAUUAUGGCUGAUAUGAUACUAGUCUUCCGAACGGAAGGUGGGGGUGGGAGGAGAUCCUGGCAUUUGCCAUCUGGUAAGCCUGUCUUUAAUCCUCAGUAAAGUAAUGGAAUGGAGAUGAGGAAAAAAAUGUGUAAGAAUCAAAAGCAUAAUGCCACCAUGAGCAAGCAGCUGUCUGGAUUUUUAAAGAGCAAAUUCCAUGAGACAAAUUUAAUUGCAUUUUUUAAUAGAAUUAAAAAAAGUCCACAACAUUAGUGGGUGAAGGAAAUGAAAUGGAUGUAUCCAAAAAUCUCACUUGAAAGAUGAAUUCAGCGGGGCUGGUUCUGAGCUGUCUUCUGUAUUGAAACCCGGCUGGAAGGCCACGUGAGCAGCGGUGGGAGGCCAUGGAGUGGCUGGGAGAUGGUGGCCAGCGGCGUGCUUCUGGCAGGCUCUGAGAUGGGCCGGCGCCUACAGAGCAUCAUUAUUAAUGACUUGCAGGAGGUGAUGAGCAGAACAUUAAUUAAAUGUGCACAUGUGGCCAAGUGGGAAAUUGGCGGCGAAAACACCAGAGAGGCAGGCACGUAAUACCCAGAACCUCAGCUGGAACAGCUCAAGUAUUAAUGCCGGGUUAAGCUGCACUUUCUGCGUAAGAACCAACUUUGGCUUUGUAUGUCAGACUGAAACAACACUUCCAUCUUGCGUUGCUUCAAAUGUAAGUACAGUUUGUGGGUCUCCAGGAAGAUCCCCAGGCUCCAUUUUGCUGGCAAAUAGUCGUUAAGA